GACGAACGCUGGCGGCGUGCUUAACACAUGCAAGUCGAACGGAAAGGCUCCAGCUUGCUGGGGUACUCGAGUGGCGAACGGGUGAGUAACACGUGGGUAAUCUGCCCUGCACUCUGGGAUAAGCCUGGGAAACUGGGUCUAAUACUGGAUAUGACCUUUCUCCUUAUGGUGUUUGUUGGAAAGUUUUUCGGUGUAGGAUGAGCCCGCGGCCUAUCAGCUUGUUGGUGGGGUGAUGGCCUACCAAGGCUACGACGGGUAGCCGGCCUGAGAGGGUGACCGGCCACAUUGGGACUGAGAUACGGCCCAGACUCCUACGGGAGGCAGCAGUGGGGAAUAUUGCACAAUGGGCGGAAGCCUGAUGCAGCGACGCCGCGUGAGGGAUGACGGCCUUCGGGUUGUAAACCUCUUUCAGCAGGGACGAAGCGUAAGUGACGGUACCUGGAGAAGAAGCACCGGCCAACUAUGUG
Molecule: ribosomal RNA, 467 nt
Filed under: uncultured bacterium
Lineage: Bacteria
Description: partial 16S ribosomal RNA
Rfam family: Bacterial small subunit ribosomal RNA
Source: RNAcentral